GGCAGCGUGGCCGAGUGGUUAAGGCGAUAGACUAGAAAUCUAUUGGGGUAACCCGCGUGAGUUCAAAUCUCACAGCUGUCG
RNAcentral lists this transfer RNA (81 nucleotides) under Phytophthora infestans (potato late blight agent). RNAcentral's name for it is "tRNA-Ser". It matches the Rfam family "tRNA". Rfam says of the family: Transfer RNA (tRNA) molecules are approximately 80 nucleotides in length. RNAcentral also lists the same sequence under 1 other name. Lineage: Eukaryota; Oomycota; Peronosporomycetes; Peronosporales; Peronosporaceae. The record is from RNAcentral.